AACGAACGCUGGCGGCAUGCCUAACACAUGCAAGUCGAACGAGACCUUCGGGUCUAUUGGCGCAUGGGUGCGUAACGCGGGGUAACCUGCCCUUAGGUUCGGCAUAACUCCCCGAAAGGGGUGCUAAUACCGGAUAAUCUCUUCGGACCAAAGAUUUAUCGCCUUUGGAUGGGCCCGCGUUGGAUUAGCUAGUUGGUAGGGUAAAAGCCUACCAAGGCGACGAUCCAUAGCUGGUGUGAGAGGAUGAUCAGCAACACUGGGACUGAGACACGGCCGAGACUCCUAGGGGAGGCAGCAGUGGGGAAUAUUGGAAGAGGGGGGAAAGCCUGAUCCAGCAAUGCCGCGUGAGUGAUGAAGGGCUUGGGGUUGUAAAGCUCUCUUACCCGGGAUGAUAAUGACAGUAACGGGAGAAUAAGCUCCGGCUAACUCCGUG
Molecule: ribosomal RNA, 433 nt
Filed under: uncultured bacterium
Lineage: Bacteria
Description: partial 16S ribosomal RNA
Rfam family: Bacterial small subunit ribosomal RNA
Source: RNAcentral